RNAcentral lists this long non-coding RNA (857 nucleotides) under Homo sapiens (human). RNAcentral's name for it is "HSALNT0000323". Lineage: Eukaryota; Metazoa; Chordata; Mammalia; Primates; Hominidae. The record is from RNAcentral.
GUGAGCCGGCCCCUGACGUGCAGGGUGACCAUGUGCCUGGAGAAGGAAGAUCCUUUUAGAAGGAAGCUCCCCAGGACCCAGGUCCCCCGGUUCGAUGCUGACACCCCCACCUUCUGACCUCAGGAAGCUCCCCAGGACCCAGGUCCCCCGGUUCGAUGCUGACACCCCCACCUUCUGAACCCAGGAAGCUCCCCAGGACCCAGGUCCCCCGGUUCGACGUUGACACCCCCACCUUCUGACCCCAGGAAGCUCCCCAGGACCCAGGUCCCCCGGUUCGACAUUGACACCCCUACCUUCUGACCCCAGGAAACUCCCCAGGACCCAGGUCCCCCGGUUCGACGUUGACACCCCCACCUUCUGACCCCAGGAAGCUCCCCAGGACCCAGGUCCCCCGGUUCGGAGUCCUGCUUCCCCCGGAUGCAGCUCAGGAUGCCUCUGUGGGUGGUCCUGGGGCAGGAUUCCUUCCCGCCUUGUGAACGGGGUCCCGCCCAGUGUGGCCCCUGGGGUCCAGAACCCGCAGGCUGGGCCCUCCCAUGACCUGGAGGCCGUCCCAUUGCAGAGAUAGGGCCCUAGAGUUCACCUGCAACACUGCAAGCCCCAGGCCCCCCAACCUGUCCCCAGACGGGCAGGUCCGUCUUCAGAGAGCUUCUCCCUAAGUUCUCACACCGCAGAAUCCCCCCAGACCUCCCCCAAGCACAGCGUGUGGUGCCCCAGCCCUCUGCUGUGGUGACCAUUGCCUGAGGCACCGACAGUUGUGUCUGAGUGGGCCAGGCCCUAUGGGUCACUCCAGCCACCUUCGCUGCCAGGUGGGACCAACUGUGGCCAUCCCACCGCCCAGAGGAUGUUCCUGCCCCUUC